Molecule: ribosomal RNA, 1026 nt
Filed under: Coryneum heveanum
Lineage: Eukaryota; Fungi; Ascomycota; Sordariomycetes; Diaporthales; Coryneaceae
Description: SSU rRNA
Rfam family: Eukaryotic small subunit ribosomal RNA
Source: RNAcentral
UUAGCACCUAAACGGCGAAACUGCGAAUGGCUCAUUAAAUCAGUUAUCGUAUAUUUGAUAGUACCUACUACAUGGAUAACCGUGGUAAUUCUAGAGCUAAUACAUGCUUAAAAUCCCGACUUCGGAAGGGAUGUAUUUAUUAGAUUAAAAACCAAUGCCCUUCGGGGCUCACUGGUGAUUCAUAAUAACUUCUCGAAUCGCAUGGCCUUGCGCCGGCGAUGGUUCAUUCAAAUUUCUGCCCUAUCAACUUUCGACGGCUGGGUCUUGGCCAGCCGUGGUUACAACGGGUAACGGAGGGUUAGGGCUUGACCCCGGAGAAGGAGCCUGAGAAACGGCUACUACAUCCAAGGAAGGCAGCAGGCGCGCAAAUUACCCAAUCCCGAUACGGGGAGGUAGUGACAAUAAAUACUGAUACAGGGCUCUUUUGGGUCUUGUAAUUGGAAUGAGUACAAUUUAAAUCCCUUAACGAGGAACAAUUGGAGGGCAAGUCUGGUGCCAGCAGCCGCGGUAAUUCCAGCUCCAAUAGCGUAUAUUAAAGUUGUUGCAGUUAAAAAGCUCGUAGUUGAACCUUGGGCCUGGCUGGCCGGUCUGCCUCACCGCAUGCACUGGUCCGGCCGGGCCUUUCCCUCUGGGGAGCCGCAUGCCCUUCACUGGGUGUGUCGGGGAACCAGGACUUUUACUGUGAAAAAAUUAGAGUGUUCAAAGCAGGCCUAUGCUCGAAUACAUUAGCAUGGAAUAAUAGAAUAGGACGUCGCGGUUCUAUUUUGUUGGUUUCUAGGACCGCCGUAAUGAUUAAUAGGGACAGUCGGGGGCAUCAGUAUUCAAUCGUCAGAGGUGAAAUUCUUGGAUCGAUUGAAGACUAACUACUGCGAAAGCAUUUGCCAAGGAUGUUUUCAUUAAUCAGGAACGAAAGUUAGGGGAUCGAAAACGAUCAGAUACCGUUGUAGUCUUAACCAUAAACUAUGCCGACUAGGGAUCGGGCGACGUUAAUUUUUGACUCGCUCGGCACCUUACACGAAAGUAAAG